Physcomitrium patens is the source of this 2086-nucleotide non-coding RNA. NCBI's taxonomy places the organism in Eukaryota, Viridiplantae, Streptophyta, Bryopsida, Funariales, Funariaceae. The record is from RefSeq and is a predicted model, not a curated record.
UGCCGAAUACAAUUUGAGCGUCGUCUCAUUGUUUUCAAGUACUGGAACCUGGGGUGUUGGUUUUGAGUUCCUCUGCCGGGAGGUUCUCACGUUGUUGUUCAGAGCAUGGCUACCACAUUCUUCCAUCAUGCAAUUUGCAAUUGCAAUUCCGAUCUAAGUUUAAUGGUUCAACCACGUCGUUAGAACAUUGCAAGUGGUGGCAGUAUUUUUGACAAUCGAUCAAAAUAAGUCCUGAGUGACUGUCAAGUAUGUAGCAAGCCAGCGUAGAAUUUUCCUACAUUCCACUUGAAUGAACAUUGAUUUCUUCCGUGGACGUAAUUUUGCAAUAUUGACAUGCAAGCUUCGCUUUUCCACGUUCAAAAACGCCGAGUCUCCUUGCCAACAAAAUUCCAACAUAACCCUGUGCAGUGUUUGAACGCCAUGGCAAGUAUUACCCCUAAGAGACUAAUCGCCGUUACUUUCAGUUGAGAAGCAACACCCGGAACACUUGCCAAGUUUCCAUAUCCACCGCUAGAGAUUAACUGAUCAAAUGGAAUGACAGCGGCCAAAAGACAGACCUAUCAGGUUUAACCCAUCAGCUUCAUCGAAUAUGGAGCAGUUUCCAAGGCGAGCAUGAUACUGAAAUUUUCAAUCAAGAUGAAUCUGCGGAAUACUUACGGGCAGUCGCAGUCUUUGCUGUAUUGGUCCAACAAGUAGUACACCAUUCAAAUCGCGUGUGAACACACUGAUUUGCAUCUCACGUCGUCAUUUUACCGAUCGAUAUUGACAUCCAGGUUGUGUGAUGAAAAUAAGUAUAUCUCCUAAUAUAGGAGCAUUUUUCAUUAGCUCUCAUCUAGUACCCACAGUUAUUGAGGUGUUCCAAUCAGCUACUUGUGCUGCUCUUUAAUCGUGCAUUGAAAGCUGUUGGAUUUGUCGAUAGAGUUGAAGUUUUAUGUAGACGAAGGCUUUCUGUUUGCGGAGGGGUUGAAGCUUUGUAGAGCUUGGUGUAAGUGCUCAUAGGGACUCCACGCCACUGCAAGAGUGUUGGGUUUGCGCAUCCGGCAACGUUGUAGUAAUCUGAGAGAAGUAAUGUAGUCUCUUUCAGACCUUGUUCAGCAUGCAAAAUAUGAAGAAAUCGUGGUAGCAUUGGAUCUGCAAACGGAUUCGGCUGCAGUAAUCGAAGCAACGCAUAUAUGUCCCAGGGUUUCGGUGAAGCCGACUUCACUUAAUCGUUCAUCUUUCCGCAUCUCUAUAUCGAACUGAUGUCCUCACUUCAGAUUCAACCUUCCUCAUAACGUGAAGAGAAUUCAUUAAUUGUCAGAUUAUCCGAUUGCCAUGGGACACCAGGUGAAGCACUCGACUGUGGAACCCGUGCUGGAGAAUUACAUGAGCCCUCCGAUGUCUUGCGGUACAGCCAGUAAGGCCAACCAUGGGCCAGUUGCAACAAGCAGUGCGGAAGAGAAACACGCGAAAUCGUUGUCCAGCUUGAAUCCUCUUAAUUUUUUCCAAAAGCUGAGAGAUCGCAACAUUAGGGCCAUGAAUGAAAAGGCCAUGAGAGGGAACAACAUUGGCAUGGCUGACUACCAGGGCACUGUCACAGGGACACACCACUCCGACACCAUGGAUCGGCAACAUUUAAGUGCGAAGGAGCGAGAAAUGAACGCAUACUUAGAGCAACUAGUUGCACUUCAAAGAAAUAGUGACGUAGCCCAAUAACAAGCUAGCACCAAUAGACUUUCGAUGCAAAGUUUGUCCACCUUCGUUGAAAUCUUUACCAAAAGAGUCAGAUUACCCCACAGCUCAGAUUUCUCAUAAUACAAUCGAUCAUGGGUACUCGAGCCGUUCACAGCUACUUCCCUAAUGCGACGGCGGAAGUCCAUUAGUGUAGCCGAGAACCCCAGCAUUGUCUGAUUCCAGCUCUCUCGAACUACGUUACCGACAACAAAGACUGCCGAGAAUCUACUAUUGAAUGCAUUAGCAGAAAUUAUUUUGGGUGUGCCAGGAUGGAAGAUAGAUCUAAUGUUUGAAAGUAAUGCCGUUCUGGGUGCUGCCAUCGAUACAUUCAUGCGCUAUGAAAGUUGACCUGGAGCCAUUUCACUUUGCGUCA